AGAGAAAGCUGCUAUCCCAGGCAGGACGCUACACAGUCUUCCUUCUGGGCUUUCUUCCUCACCUGAACACAAGGUUUUUAGUGGCUUCCAAGGUCUACGAGGAAUCUGUGCAGACCCAGCUGCCUGCUCAAAAGAAGUGAGUGGGCGAUUAAUGUAUCAAAAACCUUCAGACUCAUCUGCCUUUUCUCCUUCCUACAGCCUUGAGCUCUGAGUACUGAGGGCCAUCACUGACUGGCACUCAAGACGCGGAAUGCAUUCUGCCUUUGAGCGUUACUGAGGAGAGACACAAAGGACUACAGCCUAUGGCACAAGACUCCUAAGCCCAGGUCUCAGCUCCCCAGAUGGGCUCUACAGAACCUACUAAAGGACAUAACAUGUAGCCUGGUGAUUAGUAUUGGAUGCCUA
Long non-coding RNA from Rattus norvegicus (Norway rat), 405 nucleotides. RefSeq lists it as uncharacterized. The record is from RefSeq and is a predicted model, not a curated record. Lineage: Eukaryota; Metazoa; Chordata; Mammalia; Rodentia; Muridae.